CUCCUCUCUUGUCUGGACCAUCGCGGUCGUUGUCAGCUUGAUCCGGAUUGUAGACGAGAGGGCAAUUGUCCGCGUUGUUCAGGAUACCAUCGUUGUCAGCGUCCUGAUCGCAAGCGUCUCCGUAAUCAUCGCCAUCCGCAUUUUCUUGACCGCUGUUCGGCGUAUUUUUACAGUUGUCCGCGCGACAAGUUUUCUCGGUGCAAGGGAGUUCCUCGUCGGGGAUACUGUCGAUGUCCGUGUCGGGUCCGCAGAUAUGCCCGUUUCCGGCCCAUCCGACUUCGCACUGCGAAAUUAUCAGAGGCUGUAUAGAUGACGACAGGAUAAUUGGUGGCAAUUGCAGCGAGUCAGGAGAACUAUAGUUAAUUUAUUUUCGUCUGCCAAACGGUCGGUGAAAAUUGGUAACGGCGUGCUCUGAGAUGGUGUCUAAAGUUCCAAAGGACUCAGUUUACCCUGCAGGAGUAGUGCGCCCUUCCUAGGAAAAUGCAACCUGCGUUAUCGUCGCAAGUGGUCACGCCGUCGCGGCAAACAACGCCGCGAGGACGGCAUCCCGUGGUCUGAUUACCCACGUAACCAGACCUGCACGGCCCGCAUCUGAACGAGCCCUGAAAACGA
This 612-nucleotide unclassified non-coding RNA is filed under the name Athalia rosae (coleseed sawfly). RNAcentral's name for it is "misc RNA ENSAEAG00005000763.1". Lineage: Eukaryota; Metazoa; Arthropoda; Insecta; Hymenoptera; Athaliidae. The record is from RNAcentral.